Molecule: microRNA precursor, 114 nt
Organism: Sorghum bicolor (sorghum)
Lineage: Eukaryota; Viridiplantae; Streptophyta; Magnoliopsida; Poales; Poaceae
Rfam family: MIR5565 microRNA precursor family
Source: Rfam
GUUGUCGGAUUUACUUCAAUCCAUGUGUGUUGGUGUGGAUUAAGAUGGAAUUUAGUUCAAGUUCUACUCCAAUCCACGUCGACACAUGUGGAUUGGAUUGAUGUGAAUCCGACU